Molecule: long non-coding RNA, 777 nt
Filed under: Daucus carota (carrot)
Lineage: Eukaryota; Viridiplantae; Streptophyta; Magnoliopsida; Apiales; Apiaceae
Description: long non-coding RNA (DCAR_LNC002892)
Source: RNAcentral
UCAUAUAUAUUGUACACUACAGUUAUAGAUAGAACCAAGGCACAAUGUAAGCUUAACUCCAUUAAUCAUAGUACUUCAUAAGUUCAUAUUACAUCGAUCAACUCAAUGAUUCGACAUACUUGUGCAACUAUAACUAAACAUUCAACUAUAUCUAUCUUGUUAACACACAUGCACUUUCAGCGGUUCUUCAUCCACGGACUUCCUCCACCUGCAAAUCAAAAUCAUCAAUUCACAUAAUUAAAUCAGGUCUUACAUUAUAGGAGUCAUUUAUAGAUGUCAAUAUAUAGUAAACGAUUCAACAAAUAACAAUGGCUGCUUACACGAGGAUUCGCUUUUGCAUUUGCAGGAGGCCCUCCAGGAGGGCUUGUAUGCGGAUCAUGAUAAUCAAUAUCAUAUAGCCUUGUAUUUGAAGGAGGGCUUCCCGGAGGACUUGUAUGCGGAUCAUGAUAAUCAAUAUCAUAUAACCCUGCGGCGGGAUUCAACCGUCCUGCCCAUAUAAAAAUUUCUUUAAACAAAUUUGGUUCAAAUGCAUAAAUAACCACAUUAGCUCAUAUAUGAUUGCUAAUUAAAAUUGGACUAUAUAUAAAGGAGAAUAUAUAACCGAGCGACCUGCUGACAGACAUGGGGUUAUCACCAAGAGAAGAAAAACAAAGCACAGGUUGAUAUCAUUACGAGUGCUGGUGAGCGCCAUAAGUUAUCAAGAAACAACUUACUCAAAUUACAAUUUUGAGAAAGAAAGAUAGUUUCAGUAGUGCAUAACUAAAGAGAGGACUGAUA